UACGUAGGGGGCAAGCGUUGUCCGGAAUCAUUGGGCGUAAAGCGCGCGUAGGCGGCCCUGUAAGUCCGUUGUGAAAGUCGAAGGCUCAACCUUCGAAAGCCGAUGGAUACUGCAGGGCUAGAGUCCGGAAGAGGCGAGUGGAAUUCCUGGUGUAGCGGUGAAAUGCGUAGAUAUCGGGAGGAACACCUGUGGCGAAAGCGGCGCACUGGACCACAACUGACGCUGAGGCGCGAAAGCUAGGGGAGCAAACAGG
Molecule: ribosomal RNA, 253 nt
Filed under: uncultured bacterium
Lineage: Bacteria
Description: partial 16S ribosomal RNA
Rfam family: Bacterial small subunit ribosomal RNA
Source: RNAcentral